GGGCUGGUAGCUCAGUUGGUAGAGCAGGUGACUCUUAAUCACUUUGUCGGGGGUUCGAACCCCUCCCAGCCCACCA
This 76-nucleotide transfer RNA is filed under the name Verrucomicrobiaceae bacterium. Its description in RNAcentral is "tRNA-Lys". It matches the Rfam family "tRNA". From Rfam's summary of the family: Transfer RNA (tRNA) molecules are approximately 80 nucleotides in length. Their secondary structure includes four short double-helical elements and three loops (D, anti-codon, and T loops). The record is from RNAcentral. Lineage: Bacteria; Pseudomonadati; Verrucomicrobiota; Verrucomicrobiia; Verrucomicrobiales; Verrucomicrobiaceae.